AUUGAACGCUGGCGACAUGCCUUACACAUGCAAGUCGAACGGCAGCACGGGUGCUUGCACCUGGUGGCGAGUGGCGAACGGGUGAGUAAUACAUCGGAACAUGUCCUGUAGUGGGGGAUAGCCCGGCGAAAGCCGGAUUAAUACCGCAUACGAUCUACGGAUGAAAGCGGGGGACCUUCGGGCCUCGCGCUAUAGGGUUGGCCGAUGGCUGAUUAGCUAGUUGGUGGGGUAAAGGCCUACCAAGGCGACGAUCAGUAGCUGGCCUGAGAGGACGACCAGCCACACUGGGACUGAGACACGGCCCAGACUCCUACGGGAGGCAGCAGUGGGGAAUUUUGGACAAUGGGCGAAAGCCUGAUCCAGCAAUGCCGCGUGUGUGAAGAAGGCCUUCGGGUUGUAAAGCACUUUUGUCCGGAAAGAAAUCCUUGGCCCUAAUACGGUCGGGGGAUGACGGUACCGGAAGAAUAAGCACCGGCUAACUACGUG
This 486-nucleotide ribosomal RNA is filed under the name uncultured bacterium. RNAcentral's name for it is "partial 16S ribosomal RNA". It matches the Rfam family "Bacterial small subunit ribosomal RNA", at positions 30 to 507 of the family's 1533-position model. The record is from RNAcentral.